Molecule: small nucleolar RNA, 85 nt
Organism: Cuculus canorus (common cuckoo)
Lineage: Eukaryota; Metazoa; Chordata; Aves; Cuculiformes; Cuculidae
Rfam family: Small nucleolar RNA SNORD121A
Source: Rfam
GUCCAAAAUACAGUGAUAUAUUCUUUACCAAGCACAUAUUUGCUUGUUCUGUGUGGAAAACGACUGUUGCUGGGUGAUUUUGAAU